CUGAGGUCACUUAUGUUACCAACACUCUAGGGUUCUGUGACUGUGUGUAAGGUGGGUGUGUUGUGUGCAUAAAGGUAGCUAGUUCUGCACACACAUGAGACUCUUUACAGUGGAGCUGGGAGGAUGGAGCUGGGUCAGAGUCGGCAUACCUGCUUGGCUCAUGGGACUGGCCAAAUUGGAUUUUGUAAAAAGCCAAGGUUAGCUUAAAAAGGCACUGUUAGUCACCAUUGGGUUUUGAAUAUUUUAUGCACUGAAAUCACUCCAUAAAAAUUGCUGCUUCAAAUUCAAACAGAUGUGAGAACAUCCCAGUCUCAGUAGAAUUAUAGUUUAUAAAAUUAUUUUCUUGCUUGUAACAGUGAACCUGAAUCCCAUCUUGGGGAGAAGGCAGACGAGCCCCAUGCUAACCCCUUCCCCAGAGUGUGAUGUCGUCUCUCUUGGCAGGUGGCCAGCAGAGCUCUGAAAAUCCCCACCUCUAAGAUUUACAUCAGCGAGACAAGCACUAAUACCGUGCCCAACACCUCUCCCACAGCCGCCUCAGUCAGCACUGACCUCAACGGACAGGCCGUCUACGAAGCGUGUCAGACCAUCCUGAAAAGGCUGGAGCCCUUCAAGAGAAAGAAUCCUAGUGGCUCCUGGGAAGACUGGGGCUGCCCCAGCAACAUCUCCCCCUAUCAAGCUCUGGAGUCUGGGUCCACUGAGAUUCCAUCUGUGAGAAAGCAGGGAAAAGGCAUUGCUCAAGAGGUUAUAUCAUGACUGUGACUUUAGGAGUGACACAACAAGAACCAUACAGAGUAAGGAUGAGCCCAGUUCUCUGAUUUCUCCUUUGGGGGCCUGCAUGUCAGGAACUCUCACAGGGAUGCUGCAAGGAAGUCUCUCUGAGGUGGGAGGCUUCAGUUCCUCCAACAAGCAGAAAUAUCCAUGGCAGCCCUGCUUCACUGUCUCCCUCCUGUUGGAAUGGCAGAACUGGGCACAAUAGUAACGCACAAAAUGUGCCUGCAUACAGCCCAGCUCAGACAGUGCAAGUCUCCCUCAAUAGAUUCAAAGAAAAUAAGCUAUUUUUCUCAGACGCCCUCAUCUUACUAUGCCUCCCAUGACCUCUACUUCCCUUCCCACACUCAUAGAUACCACCCACAUAAAUACCACAUGAAUGUUGAUUGGUUUUUGUAGUUUGAAUUUUAGCAUGGAUUUGUCGGGCAAUGAUAAUGUUUUCAACAUUACAAUCUGUUGAACUUUAUAGAUCAAGACUUUACAAUCUGUUGAACUGAGCGUUGUCCUCAAUAACUGACCAUGUAAUCCAACAUUCCUUAUAAGCAGGAAACCCCAACAGAGGCCAUUACCAAAAAGGUGUGAUCAGGAGAUGACAGGCAUCUAAUCUCUUCACUGUUUGUACUACACUGAAAAACGUGCCAUUAUCACCACCACCACCAUAUAUGUAUAUAUUUGUACCAGAUAUAUACAUGGUAAGGAUCCUAGAGAAAUUCUUUCUCUAAGCCUUAGUUUUCUCAUAUGUAAAAUGAAGAUAAUAAUAGUACUGAUAUUGGAGGUGAUGUCAGCAUCCUGGCAGAGUGAGGUCUCUCAGAAAUCUUUCCCCUCCAAUUUACAACAACAACAAAAAUCCAUAAUAUAACAGAGGACAACCUAACAGAACACAGAAAACGUCAGAGAGACCUAGGCAGCCAUAUGCUGGAGGGCGGAGAGACUGGAGCCCCCCUUGGAGGAGGUGGAACAGGGUAACAGAAAUCUUCACUUCUUCCCCUUAAAGACUGUGAUCAGGAACCGUGGGAGGCCUCCAAGUGAAAAGAAACAGGGGAGGGAACAUUCAUUCGUGGGAACACCAAGGACUCCCAGGGGCCUUGCAGCCUACAGGAAAGCUCUCUACCAGGGCAAAAUCUUCCACGGGGGGUGACCCAUCAGCCAACACCCAGGAGAGCAGAUAGUGAGAGCAGAGGGAGAAAACCCUGAGAGCAUGCAGAAGAAAUCUCCCCUCCUCCCACCUGCUCAGUGCGGCUCCAGCCCCUAGGAUUUCGGCUGAAAGCAGAGGGCUCAGAAUACAUGGCUCUUGACUCCCACCCAGUGGCAAUAGACAGUAACUGUGGCCAAAUAAUGCCAACAUGCUAAAGAAGAGAGCCACUCGCUCUACCAAUAUCAAACAUUAUAUUAGAUCUCCAGACCAGAGAGAAAAUGAGAAGUACCCAGAAAGCAGUCCUGAGGACAUAGAAAUAUGUAAUCUAAAUGACAAAGAAUUCAAAAUAUCUAUCAUCAAAAAACUCAAUGAGGUAAAAGAGAAUGUAGAGAAACAAUUCAAUGAGUUCAGGAGCUA
Molecule: long non-coding RNA, 2320 nt
Organism: Equus quagga
Lineage: Eukaryota; Metazoa; Chordata; Mammalia; Perissodactyla; Equidae
Exons: 3
Source: RefSeq, a predicted model, not a curated record